UGAUACUAAGCCAUGCGAGUCAUUGUAGCAAUACAAGGCAUACGGCUCAGUAACGCGUAGUCAACCUAACCUAUGGACGGGAAUAACCUCGGGAAACUGAGAAUAAUGCCCGAUAGAACAUUAUGCCUGGAAUAGUUUAUGUUCCAAAUGAUUUAUCGCCGUAGGAUGGGACUGCGGCCUAUCAGUUUGUUGGUGAGGUAAUGGCCCACCAAGACUAUUACAGGUACGGGCUCUGAGAGGAGUAGCCCGGAGAUGGGUACUGAGACACGGACCCAGGCCCUAUGGGGCGCAGCAGGCGAGAAAACUUUGCAAUGUGCGAAAGCACGACAAGGUUAAUCCGAGUGGUUUCUGCUAAAGGAACCUUUUGUCAGUCCUAGAAACACUGAUGAAUAAGGGGUGGGCAAGUUCUGGUGUCAGCCGCCGCGGUAAAACCAGCACCUUAAGUGGUCAGGAUGAUUAUUGGGCCUAAAGCAUCCGUAGCCGGCUCUGUAAGUUUUCGGUUAAAUCUGUACGCUCAACGUACAGGCUGCCGGGAAUACUGCAAAGCUAGGGAGUGGGAGAGGUAGACGGUACUCGGUAGGAAGGGGUAAAAUCCUUUGAUCUAUUGAUGACCACCUGUGGCGAAGGCGGUCUACCAGAACACGUCCGACGGUGAGGGAUGAAAGCUGGGGGAGCAAACCGGAUUAGAUACCCGGGUAGUCCCAGCUGUAAACCAUGCAAACUCAGUGAUGCAUUGGCUUGUGGCCAAUGCAGUGCUGCAGGGAAGCCGUUAAGUUUGCCGCCUGGGAAGUACGUACGCAAGUAUGAAACUUAAAGGAAUUGGCGGGGGAGCACCACAAGGGGUGAAGCCCGCG
Molecule: ribosomal RNA, 854 nt
Filed under: uncultured archaeon
Lineage: Archaea
Description: bacterial SSU rRNA
Rfam family: Archaeal small subunit ribosomal RNA
Source: RNAcentral